GACGAACCGAGCGAACGUUGUUCGGAAUAACUGGGCUUAAAGGGCGCGUAGGCGGGCCGCCAAGUGCGAGGUGAAAUCCUCCGGCUCAACCGGAGAACUGCCUCGAAUACUGGAGGCCUCGAGGCGGGUAGGGGCACGCGGAACUGUGGGUGGAGCGGUGAAAUGCGUUGAUAUCCACAGGAACUCCGGUGGCGAAGGCGGCGUGCUGGACCCGAUCUGACGCUGAGGCGCGAAAGCCAGGGGAGCAAACGGG
Molecule: ribosomal RNA, 253 nt
Filed under: uncultured bacterium
Lineage: Bacteria
Description: partial 16S ribosomal RNA
Rfam family: Bacterial small subunit ribosomal RNA
Source: RNAcentral